This 582-nucleotide ribosomal RNA is filed under the name uncultured fungus. Its description in RNAcentral is "eukaryotic LSU rRNA". It matches the Rfam family "Eukaryotic large subunit ribosomal RNA", at positions 40 to 647 of the family's 3401-position model. Lineage: Eukaryota; Fungi. The record is from RNAcentral.
AUAUCAAUAAGCGGAGGAAAAGAAACCAACAGGGAUUGCCCUAGUAACGGCGAGUGAAGCGGCAACAGCUCAAAUUUGAAAUCUGGCCUUCGGGUCCGAGUUGUAAUUUGUAGAGGAUGCUUUUGGUGCGGUGCCUUCCGAGUUCCCUGGAACGGGACGCCAUAGAGGGUGAGAGCCCCGUCUGGUUGGACACCAAUCCUCUGUAAAGCUCCUUCGACGAGUCGAGUAGUUUGGGAAUGCUGCUCUAAAUGGGAGGUAUAUGUCUUCUAAAGCUAAAUACCGGCCAGAGACCGAUAGCGCACAAGUAGAGUGAUCGAAAGAUGAAAAGCACUUUGAAAAGAGGGUUAAAUAGUACGUGAAAUUGUUGAAAGGGAAGCGCUUAUGACCAGACUUGAGCCCGGUUAAUCAUCCAGCCUUCUGGCUGGUGCACUUGGCCGGCUCAGGCCAGCAUCAGUUCGGCGCGGGGGAUAAAGGCUUCGGGAAUGUGGCUCCUCCGGGAGUGUUAUAGCCCGUUGUGUAAUACCCUGUACUGGACUGAGGUUCGCGCAUCUGCAAGGAUGCUGGCGUAAUGGUCAUCAGCGA